Molecule: RNA transcript, 2796 nt
Organism: Oryza sativa Japonica Group (Japanese rice)
Lineage: Eukaryota; Viridiplantae; Streptophyta; Magnoliopsida; Poales; Poaceae
Gene name: transcription termination factor MTERF8, chloroplastic-like
Source: RefSeq, a predicted model, not a curated record
CCUCGCUUCCCACGCGCACGUUUUUUAAAUUGUUAAAGGACGUGUUUUUUUGGUAAGAAAAUGUGUCGCGCGCCAACCAUACCUCCCGACACAGCCUUAAUCCAUCUACAUAUUUAUCAAUUUUUUUUAAAAAAAUAAGAUAGUUUGAAAUAUGAUAUCAAUCCGAACAGGGCUUAAAACCUAGCUCAUAGCCUAGCCGACGGCGGCCUCGCACUCGCCGGCGCCGGCGCCGGCGCCGCCAUGCUCCGCCUCCAGAACCACCUCCUCCCACUUCUCCGCGCUUCCUCCUCCUCCUCCCCUGUACACCUCCGCCGCCUAAUCCCAUCCACCGCCGCCGCAUCCUCUUCCUCCUCUGUGCACCCCAACCGCCGCCUCCACUCCACCGCCGCCGCCAGGUCCACCACCACCGCGACACCCUUCUCCAUGGAGGACUACCUCGUCGACACCUGCGGCCUCACCGCCGCCCAGGCGCUCAAAGCCUCCAAGAACGUCUCCCACCUCAAGUCCGCCACCAAGCCGGACGCGGUGCUCGCCAUCCUCUCCGGGGUCGGCCUCUCCGGCGCGGACCUCGCCGCGGUCUUCGCCGCCGAGCCACGGCUCCUCUGCACCAAGGCGCCCAGCGUCGCCCUCCGCGUCGCCUCCCUCCGCCACCGCGUCGGCUUGUCCGACCCCCAGAUCGCCAGCCUCCUCCUCCUGCCCGGCGGCGCCAAGGGCUUCCACACAUGCGACAUGGCCCCGAGGCUCGAGUUCUGGAUCCCCUUCUUGGGAUCCUUCGAGAUGCUCGAUCUUGAAGAGGAACAACGCGAUCGUCAGCUCGAGCCUCGAGAAGGUUAUCAAGCCCAACAUCGCGCUGCUCCGGGAGUGCGGGCUAAAGUGUUUGUGAUAUUGUCCAGAUGUCCCAGACGUCCGCGCGGGUCCUCACGUUCAGCCCAGAGAGAUUGAAGGUUAUCGUGCAGCAAGCUGAGAAACUCCGCAUGCCGGGUUGCUCAUGGGCAUUCAAGAACGCUGUGGGCGCCGUUGCCCGUAGCAAUGAAGGCAUUGUCAAUGCGAGGAUGGAGUUCUUGAGCAGUUCUCUUGGUUGCUCCAUGGAAAAGCUCCGCUCUGCGGUCUGCAAGUGUCCACAAAUUCUGGGAUUAUCUGAGAGCAAACUUCACAGUAAAAUAGAGUUCUUGGUUGGCAAAGUCGGAUUGGAGCCUGACUACAUUUUGCAGAGGCCUGUACUGCUUACGUACAGCCUGGAGAAGCGGUUGCUGCCGAGGCAUUAUGUUGUAGAAGUCCUUCUGGUGAAGGGAUUGAUAAAAAAAACUGUUGAUUUUUACGGUUGUGUAUGUGUGAGCAACGAAGAUUUUGUAGCAAGGUACAUUGAUCACCAUGAGAAUGCUGUUCCAGGGCUCGCAGAUGCCUAUGCUGCAGUUUGUUCUGGGAAAUUGCCUGCGUUGGUCUAACUCUACAUCUUCAGACAGAGAUAUUGGAGGUUCAUCAGUGGAAGUGCCUUCAAAGUAUAACUAUUAGCCUAUUUUGAUGGGCAUAUUGGAGAUCAAUUAUCUUUCAAGCCUAGAGCUAUUGCACCAAUUUGUUCUCUGAGGCUCAUUAGUUGAUGUUAAUUCCUGGUAAUGUCUGUUUUGAAAUUCUGGUUUCAACAGUACCACUACCAAUAAUUUGAUCGCUCAUAAUGGUAGGCAAGUUUCAAUCAUCGAUAUUAUGCAGCAACUGGACUGUUUUAAUGUUGCGGCCCUUACUUCUCAUUUCAUGGAUCGGUACUUCAACAGCUAUUUCCCUGUUCAGACAAUUGAUCAGGAACAGGUGUGGAAGAUGGAACAAGGUGAUAUUGCCUUGGUUGCUGCAACAGAUGGCUGCCACUCCUUGUGUUGAAGCCUGAAGGCAAGCCAAAAAAUAGGCCAGGCCUUCUGCGGAGAUGCCUGAAGCAUCGAACUGCAGUGUCUCACACUGGUUUUGCAGUACUAGCAGGUUAAAACAAAUCUUCCAUCCUGCAGCCGGUAGGAUUGAAAAGGUCUCAUAAGUAAUGAUGAGAAGUUUUGAAAUAGCGUAAACAUAUUAAGGGGUGGCGAUUAUGUGAUGUUGUCAGACUCUAGGAAAUCAGUAGAACAUCAAGGCUUUAUGGUUGAUUUGAAGUCGAUGUGGUUCAACUUCUAUCCAGAUCAAGUGAAGGGCUUUCUGCAGCAUUCUGAGAAACAACCACAGAUUCUACUCUCUCUUUUUUUUUUCCUGAUGAGAAACUCCACAGAAAGAUAAAGAGUUCUUGGUUACCGAAGUUGGGCUGCAUGGUGAGGCCUGCAAUGCUCUUGUUCAGCCUGGAGAUGAUGCUCUUGUUCAGCCUAGAGAAGUGGUUGGUGCCAAGGCAUAAUGUUGUGGAGUUGUUGAUGGAAAAGAUGUUGACUUGAACUAUAAUCUCUUCUGGUGAGAACGAUUUCUUAGCAAGAUACAUUGACCAUCGCAAGGGUAGUACUGUUCAUGGACUAGCAGAUGGUCAUGCUGCAGUUUGUGCUGGGAAAGUGCCUACAAAAGCCCUAGCUUAGCAUAUCUGGACCUAGAUACUGGAGGUUCAUUCCAUCUUUCUGGCUCAUAGGCUCAUAGCUAAGACCUCGCUGUAAACCUGGUUGAGUUAAUGUAAUUCCUUGUAAUGUCUUCCAAAUCUUGAUUUAGUAUUAUAGUAACAACUAACUAUCUUAUCCUUCUUAGUGCUAUGCAAGUUCAAUUCGUGGAGUAUGCAGCAACUUUAUUAUCUUAAUUUUGAUGCUCUGCUGCUCCUGUGAAUAUGUGAGGUCUUAUUGCUUC